UGUUCUUGCUUUGUUUUACUUAAUUUCGUCCAAAAUCAAACCCACCUUAUUUCUUUGAGUCAUAUUACUUAGAACUUGUCGUAGAAUAUGUUUUUAGGUGUUUUAGGUCAUUAGGAAACCAAAAUUCGUCCAAGUUGUGUUAGAGUCCCAAAACUGCCCAGAAAGUGGUUUUUAGGCAGUUUUGAGUGUUUGGUUGCUGUUUUGAUUCUUUUGGUUCGUUUUAGUGUUUUAGAGUUUAGUUUUGCAUUCGUUGAGUCUAGUUUCGUAUUUUAAACUUUGUUUUACAGAUUUGAGUCAGUUUAGAGUGUUUUAGCAAUCCCUCAUAAUCCCCGGUUUAAGAACGAUCCUUACUUAUCCAUACUACAAUUGUCAACAAGAGGGUUAAUUUGUGUGUUUAUUUAUUUUACGCAUCAAAAGACACCUUCAUGUAUUUCUUGAAGGACAGUUUCCGCCUCUGCGGGCGUAAGGCAUCUUAGGUAUGGUAGGUUAAAACCCCGCUUGUAGAGUUGGUCAUUAAUGAUCAAGUAACGGGUAGCCUUGUAUCGAAUUUGCUUAGCUUGGACUUUGUCAUUUGGAAUGGUGUCAUGAGCAAGGAAUCUAUAAAUCGGGGUAAUCCAACUAUCCCCCUGUUGUAAGUUGCACACUUCCGCAGCCAUGGUGCUUGGUGCUGCCAACAAUUCGACCUGAAUUUUUCUCCCAAUCUUGUCUUCUACCGUUGAGGCGAGGCAAGCCAAAGUAUUUGCAUGACUGUUUGCCGCUCGAGGAAUUUGGGUGAUCUGGUAGUGGAAGUGAGCAACAAUUGUGUUUGUGCCAUAUAUGCUGCCAUAGAGCUAUCCUUAGCGUCAAAGUUGUUGGUGACCUGGUUAACCACUAAUUGGGAGUCACUGAAGAUAUCAAUUCGUUUAACCCCAAGAUGUUUGGCCAAACGUAAGCCUGUUAGGAGGGCUUCAUAUUCGGCCUCAUUAUUCGACGCCUUGAAUUUGAAACGAAUAGCAUAUUCCAUCGCCACUUUGUCAGGGG
Molecule: long non-coding RNA, 1020 nt
Filed under: Malus domestica (apple)
Lineage: Eukaryota; Viridiplantae; Streptophyta; Magnoliopsida; Rosales; Rosaceae
Description: long non-coding RNA (MDOM_LNC009594)
Source: RNAcentral